This 905-nucleotide long non-coding RNA is filed under the name Mus musculus (house mouse). RNAcentral describes it as "glutamate decarboxylase 1, opposite strand (Gad1os)". The record is from RNAcentral. Lineage: Eukaryota; Metazoa; Chordata; Mammalia; Rodentia; Muridae.
ACGUCUGGUUCGGUGUCUGGCUCCCGUUGUUGUGUCUGGCCAAUUCCUUGGAAAGAAGGAGGCUCACAGCGCCGGGGACAGGGACUUUGGUGAGACAAGAGCAAGCUUAUGUGAUGCCAGCAGAUUCAGUCUGAAGAUCAUGGAUCGGGAAGGAGACUGUCCCCAAUUCUGCCAUGUGAGUGUUGCUGGUGCUGAGGCUAAACCUGCUGGUAGCUGCCUUCUUGGAGAGGUAACCCCAGGUGACCAAGUGUUGAUGGGAGAAGAAGACACUUCUGGAGAUGUGAGGCAGUUUUACAGAGAACCAGCCACCACUCUGCUCCAGGGGUGGAAGGUCUCUAAGAACUCAACUGGGAGAUUUGAAUUUCGAGUGGUCACCCCACGCCUGCACUACUCCACACCUGCGCUACCUCACACCUAAGCUGCCCCACAGCUGGGUCACUCCACACCCAAGCCACUCUCCACCUGUGCAAGUCACCCCACACCUGCACUACUUCCCACCUGAGCUGCCCCACACCUGAGCCCACACCUGGAUUUGGGGGUUUUUCAAGUCAUAUAAAAUGGUUUAUCUGCCCUGCUAACACCUCUUAGGGAAGGAAUCACCUUAACAGCACAUGAGGGGACCUUACACAUUCCUUACCCACGAGUGGCAGUCAGGGGACUCCUGGCAGGAGUCAGUUCUCUCUUCCUAAGACAUAGGUUCUCUACUGCCACCGGUGAGAGUUCCAGGGACCUCAGGCUUAGCAGAAAAUGCCUUUGCCUGCGAACCAUCUUCAACAGGUUCUAAAAGACAAGUGUUGCUAAGGAAAACUUAUUCGUGAUCAAAUUAGCUGAAAUAAGAAAGUGAUAUACAUUGUUUUCUUUUAAAAAUAAACCGAAGCCUUUAUCCAUAAAAAAAAAAAAAAAAA